UUUUAGCCCCGAUAGCAGUGGAAAUCCUUUUGUUUUUUUCUUAAAAAACAAAAGAUUGUAACGGAUUGCUUCGCCAAUU
This 79-nucleotide small RNA is filed under the name Flavobacterium frigidimaris. Its description in RNAcentral is "Flavo-1 RNA". It matches the Rfam family "Flavo-1 RNA". Lineage: Bacteria; Pseudomonadati; Bacteroidota; Flavobacteriia; Flavobacteriales; Flavobacteriaceae. The record is from RNAcentral.